RNAcentral lists this ribosomal RNA (253 nucleotides) under uncultured bacterium. Its description in RNAcentral is "partial 16S ribosomal RNA". It matches the Rfam family "Bacterial small subunit ribosomal RNA", at positions 524 to 776 of the family's 1533-position model. The record is from RNAcentral.
UACGUAUGGUGCAAGCGUUAUCCCGAUUUACUGGGCGUAAAGGGAGCGCAGGCGGCGCGCCAAGUCUGAUGUGAAACCCCGGGGCUCAACCCCGGGCAUGCAUUGGAAACUGGCGGGCUGGAGUGCCGGAGAGGUAAGCGGAAUUCCUAGUGUAGCGGUGAAAUGCGUAGAUAUUAGGAGGAACACCAGUGGCGAAGGCGGCUUACUGGACGGCAACUGACGCUGAGGCUCGAAAGCGUGGGGAGCAAACAGG